Molecule: long non-coding RNA, 683 nt
Filed under: Sorghum bicolor (sorghum)
Lineage: Eukaryota; Viridiplantae; Streptophyta; Magnoliopsida; Poales; Poaceae
Description: long non-coding RNA (SBIC_LNC005515)
Source: RNAcentral
UCCGCGUACUCUGAUGUUUUGUAAGUGUUAAUAUAAAUAUGUUUUCCGCUAUAAAUAACAUUGUUUCUGAUAUUUCUAUUCUUUGUUGUAUGUGUGGACUUCCUGGGCACACAUAUGACGACUCUGGUCUUAUUUUAAAAGCCAGGGUGUGACAAGUAUCACUUCAUAAGGGAAUGCAUAGAAAGAGGGGGGAUCAAUGUGAAGAGAGUGGGAACCAAUGAACAAAAAGCUGAUUCACUGACAAAAGCACUACCAUUGGGUAAGUUGGUGGUGAUGAGGCACCUACUCGGUGUGAGGGACUUGAGCCUCUGUCAGGCUUAGGGGGGAGCAUGUUGGCGUUAAGCCUGUCAGAGGAGUUGCUGAAGACAGUGCUCAGGACAGGAGAGAGUCUGGAAGCGGGAAAGUUUCGGUUUGAAACUUGGACGCGCAUGAGCUGGUCAAGCAGCGUGGUGACCGCGCCCACGAACUCGGUAGUUCUGCAGUGUGUGUUUUCAGUGACUUGUAUCCAUAUUUUAUUUAGGUGUCUUUCUGUAAAAGUGUCAUUUAGCUCCAGGUAUUAGGAGCAGGGACUUUGGCGUGUGUUAUCUAUCACUUGUAAGCCGGUUAGGCAUUGUGUACUGUGAUCCACAAAAAGCGAAAAGGGGCGCUGUCACCCUGUCGCCAUUGUGGCGGUUGCCCAGUUC